Molecule: long non-coding RNA, 18343 nt
Organism: Gallus gallus (chicken)
Lineage: Eukaryota; Metazoa; Chordata; Aves; Galliformes; Phasianidae
Exons: 11
Source: RefSeq, a predicted model, not a curated record
AGUAUUGAGGAGACAUAAACCUGUUUUGGUGCAUCCAAAGGAGGGCCAUAAAAAUGAUCCAAAGGAUGGAAUAAGAUGGAACAACUCUCCAAUGAGGACAGGCUGAGAGAGCUGAGGCUGUUCAUCUUGGAGAAGAGAAGGCUUUGAGGAGAAAAUGAAGGAAGAUAUCAACGUUGCAACAGUUACUUUCCAUCAACAAUUGCUCAUUUAUUUUACCUCCUACAGCUGUGGUAGUAUGCACAACACAGUGGUUUCUCCUCGGCAUCAGUUCAAAAGAAGCUCAAAAACAAAUGAAAGAAAAUACGAGUUCCAUGUCUGAAGUGAGGAGAUUAAGGGAUACUGGACAACUCAUCUCUGAAGAAACUUCAGAGAGCUUUAUUUUUGGCAGCUGGACGGUUGUUCCAAUAGUGCUGUGCAGCUUGCUGGAUGGAGGAGGAUAUUGACUGAUGUGACACCUGCUUGCUGUGAGUCUUACUCUGGUUCCUCUGCAACUUCUCUACAGUGUUACAAAAUAAAGUUGAUGGCACAGGACCUCAGUUUUGAAGUUAAUGUUUGGUGCCUGGGACAUCUCAAAAUUCAAGAGCUGAACUUUUUGGGAUGAAAAUCUUCGGAGAGAAUCAGGCAUUGAUCUAUUAUUUUCUUAGUCAGAGCUUCCACCAUGAGGCUGCCAAAGAAAUAAAUGUCACCUUCUUCACUUUCUUCAGAUGCAGUUUUUGGAAGUGAUAACUGGAACUGCAGUCUGUGAUAUAUAAAAUAUAAGUGUACAUUGGAUUGAGCUCCCGAAAAGGAUUUUGAUCUGCCAGCUCUUCCCAGAAAGAGACUGAGAACCGACAGGAGGAAAUCGAAUGCACUUUAAAUCUGAAAUCUGUCAUCAGAGUAGCAGUCUUCACAAACUCAACUUUUCAAAGAAGGAAAUUUUCAGAUUCUAACUUCUUAUUGGAAAGCUGCUGGAGACCUUUUCUUGCUAUGCUGUUAUUUGGAGUGAAUAAAGAAUCUUUUCUACUUUCAGCUCAGAUCCUUGGAGACUCAUCAAGUUUUUGAUUAUGUUGUAUGCCUCUGCUCUGCCAUGAAUCUUUAGGAUAGGAAAGAAAGAUUUCUGCUCCCCACUGGAGAAGCAUCUCCCCUCCCUAAUCCCUUCUGCUUCUUUAUCCAUCUGGGAAAAAAUCAGAUGAUCACCCUAUACUGAUGUCUGAGACUAAUAGUUAAACUGGGAAUGUUUCAUCUGAAAAAUUAACAAUGUGAAUACUUAACGUAGAAAGUCCUCCAAGUCUGCAAAAAGCUUGAUGUAGUUAGAGGCCUCAGUAAAGAAUGAAGAGAAAUGGAUAUAACUGUGUGUGAAUUUAGCAUCUGACUACACGUCCAGUCUGACAGAAAGGUAUGAUAUCCUGGAAAGCAGAUUUCACAACCUUAUUUUCUUUCUGUUUCCUCUCAAAACUGCAAGGAGUAUUUUCUUGGACAACUCUUGAGGCAGAGCCAAUUAAUUGUUAUCUACUUAUAAAGUGGUUUGAGUUAGAGUUUCUGUUAACAGCAUGGGGGGUUAAAUGAUAGGGAAUGGCACAACUGAACUUAUGAACAACUAAUAGAAACUAAUUCACUUGGGAGUUAUGGACAGCUUGGACUAGAUGAUCCUUGCCAGCUGACUUACUUCUCAAGAUGGAAAACGUCUGGACUAUUGCUUUAUACUGCUGGGUCCAGUAAGAAGAACUUUCAGAAUGAGAAAAUGAGCCUUCCUACUUCAAAAUUUGCCCUACAUCAGGGGAAGUCCCAAACUGACUGAACUAUAACACCAUAAGCAGCUAUGUAAUACAAAUCUGUCCCUAUUAAAUACCAGCAGGUAUUUAAACACUCUUUCAUAGCUGCCUUACAUCUAAACUUCGUUUGAAUGGCUGCACUAACGUAAGUGUAGCUUCUCAGCUGAAGACUAAUAAGGUUUCUGUUGUAUUACAAGACAACUCCUAUAGUACUCAUCUUUUCUCCAGAUCUAUGUAUGUCUUAACAUAAGUGUUGAAGACCUUUCCCUCUACUUCUAAUAGAGUUCUAACCCCUGGCAGAUGGGGUUCCAAAACUAUAUCACAACUCUACUUUUACCCUGCAGAGUUCUAUCUGUCUGGUAUGGACUUCAUGCUGUUAAGCAGAGGCCUUCUUUGCUUGCAGUGGCAUUCUGUCUGACAGAAGACCUUUCUGUGGUGCAAAAAGAACUUUAGGAUUCUAGCACUGCAUUGUGAAUAUGAUGCUGACUGUUAAUUCUUCUGUCUAAUCUGUGUCUUCAAUGGGAGUAAACUAUCUGUGUUUUUUAAAUGAGAAAUAAGAAAACAUCUGCUUGAAAAACAAGUAAGCUUUCUACUUAAAGUGGGUAUUUAUUAUCUCAGUAUAAUAUGCAAAUGUACCAUUCCUAAUGAAAACAUACCCUAAAUCAAAAUUUUCCUUAAAGCAAGUUCUCAUAUACAUUUUUUUUUUUCUGAUUGGGGAUGGGAAAAUGAUCAAGGCAAUUUUUUUUUCUUUUUAUCUCUGCAAUGUUUAUAACUCUUCACAAAACUGUUGGCUUCCCAAUUCCUUUGUGUUUCCCUAGUCAGUACAUAAUGACUCAAAAAGUUCAUCUUAUUUAGAACUGCUUAUAAAUGAAAGGGAAGUUCAGAAUUUUAGUCAUCAGCUAGCAGUACUUAACUGUUUUUAAAGCUUGCAAAGGUCCUUAAUGAUAGCAAUACUAUUUCCACCUUUAUCACACCAAGUUUUUAAGGCACAAAUUCUUACUGACACAUGUUUUCAUUCCUUCUUCAUCUCCUGAAACGUCAACUAAGCUCCUUGUAGAUUGAUACUGAGGAUGAGAUUAAAAACAGGAAAAGGUGGUUUACUUUAAAGCUGUUGAGUGUUUCUGAUGGAAUGUUAUGUUAAAGAAAAAAUUGUGCAUCAAGGAGAGGAAAAAAAUACAGUGAUAUGGCAGAAAGAAAAGGUGAAUACCUACUAAAUUAGCCAGUAAAGACAAUUAUCUUGUUCAGAAAUUAGCUGCAUAUUCAGUGCUUAUUUUUUUCUGAUUGUUCCUCAGAAUAUUCCCUAACUGUUUUUGCUUCAUUGCUGGCCCAACUUCUCUCACCUUAUUUUGAAGAGUACACACACACAAAAAAUCAUUUCUAGCAAAGCAAUCAGGAACAAAGGCCUAAGUACUUCUUCUGCCACUUGCUGAAACAAUUAGACCAAAUGUGAGCUAUAUUCUUAACAGGUAGUUUUAAGGUAGCUUUGCUGUUAAUGUUGCCAAGUAAUGAGCACUAUUUAAUUUAUUCUGAUGCUUCAUGGUUUGCCACAAAUAAGGAAAUCAGUUUGUUGGGUUUUUUUUGUUUUUUUUUUUUUGAAACUAUUAAUUGAUUACAUGACUUCCAUUUGCGGCAUCAUACAGUCAUUUAUAGUCAGUAAUUAUUAUCAUAACUUUGCUAUGGGACACAUAACACUACUUAAAGAGUCUUAAAGAGUGAGUUGCAGUAAGUAUAUGCUUAGCAGAUAAGCAUGACUGAAAAGAUAAUUAUCCACAGAUUAUUUACUGACAUAUGUGAAUAUCGUAUGCUGUUGUGAUAAUCAAUUAGACUAGUUAAGCAUCCUCUUUCUUGAUUUCCAAUUUGAGAAUAUCUGCUGAAAUAUUUGAUAUUUCAGUAGAGUUGGUAACAGCAUAAGUGAAUGUUUAUUAACAGAUUUCAAUUUUUAUAAUAGAAAAGAAAUAUAUGUAUAUUUUUAAAAUAUAUUACUGAAUGUGAAUAUUUCACAAGAGUCUUUGUCACUUUGUAGGAGGAACUGAUACGUUUCUCAUGCUAUUUCUGUACUAAAGUAUGAGAGUUUGAGUGCUUAGGUGCAUAUGACUGGCAGUCCAAAGAGUUCUGUUCUGUAUCUGUCUCCAGACAUGCCAUGAGCUCCUUCAGAAGCUAUAUGACUCUUCUUUGUCAAAAUCUUACCAGCCACAGUGUGAUUUUUGGGCCUUACGGCAAGUGGUAUGUCAGGCCAGUGAAGGAAUCUGUUGUUGGUGUGAAUGUUAAGGAUGAAUGUGAGGAAAGACUUGGUCAUAAGGUUAUGAUGUCCAGAAGAUUUCAAGAUCUGUGUAAGAUAGAUCCAAAAGACAAAGUAAUCACAAGCAGGUAGUCUUUUCACCAGAGACUUUUGUUGUGCACCUGAGUAUGAGAGUACAGCAAAUGAUUAGCUGCUUCCUCAUGUAAUAUACUAGAAUAUCUCUUGUAUUCAUCUAAACAGGACAGUAUUGAGGUUGACAGAAUAAAUGUCCAAUGAAAUAACAUAUGUCUUAUAUCCAAUGAAAUAAUGUGUCAUAUUUCACCAUUGUAGAAGGCUAAAGAUAAGAAACUGAGGCAAAUUCUUAUUUUAUAAGAGUGAUUUUAAUGAAAACAUCUCCUUGAAGGCUAGAAGGCACAUCAAAUGAUUCCCAAUUCAAACAUCUUUCUGCUUUCAUCUACUUAUUUGGUUUGUCCCGAGGAAAAGCCAGUUUUAUAAGAUAUCAAGAUUCAUUCUAUCCUUGAAAGCAGAAGGACUCAAAACAACUGAUUGUAUAAUUUCCUGUGUUUUGUUCAAUAACGUCAACUAGCUCGCGUGUUAGCUGCUUUCAUAACAACAGUCCCUAAUAACUAAUUAAUGGACAAUUUCUCUUUACAGUAUUUGUGCAGCAUGUUUUCAAGUAUGACAAAUGAGCAGGAAGAAAUUGAGCUAGGAACAUCCUAGCUCCUAGGCUGUGUGUCCUGAUCAUGCCCCAGGUGUGUAUGAAAUGAGAACUCCUUCUAGGUGUGUACCAGUUUUCUGUUUCCUUUUCUGCCCCGUGUCCAUCUCCAUCGAUCAUCUCACACUCUGUGUUCCAGUAUUCUUAAAAUUAAGCCUAGGAAUAUGUGCUAGAACAGAGCCAAGUCAUGCAAGAUAAACAACUCCCUGCAAAUGUAUGCUUUAUUUAAAGGUCAGAAUUAGUAAUCAGCCCUUGCAGAUUUCGAAGAUUUUUAUCCUGGCAUGCUAUAGCAUACAUUUCAGGCUCCAGCUGAACUAUGAGCAGACAAGCUCAGGCCUUUUUAAAGAUUUUUUUAAGAUUUUUUCAAAAUCUUUAAAAAUGUGAAAACUCAGCAAGAAAAUCAAUGUUCAGUUCUGCCUAGAUUUCAAUUGAAGCUUCAUGUACACUUCAUUUCAGCAAGGUAAUCCUAAAGGGAUAAAAGUGUAGUGAUUCUUUUGUCACAACAAUUUCAAGAUCAGGCAGAAUAGAAUAAACAUGUCUUGGACUGUGCUGCUUUCUGACUGCUAAAACCAAAAUCUUUUAAUCCAGCCUUAGUGUCAAACUGAAGAAGGGUCUUCCUUUAAAAUCUUUGCUGCUUCUGCCAGCUUUUUCCUGCUCUUGUAUUCCAGCACCACUUCCAUGUUUUCUAUGUUAAAUGUAGCCUUACCCCAUUCUUUUCCAUUUCUCAGACACUAAAGUACAGAAGCACAAUUGCAACUUCUUUGUCUUGUGUAACUCCCAGAGAAGAUCUAUCAGCAUAAAUUUUGUCCAGUCUUACCCAGUCUCUUACUGGCUAUUAAAAUUGCUGAUGACUUCCCACUUAUUGCACAGACGUGCUGAAAAGGAAACGGUGAUACAUCCAUCUUCAUUCUAUAAACCAAGAACAUUGUUUUUGACACUUUCACAGAGAUGUCUCAAUUAUGACUUUUGUCUAGAGACAGGUUUUACUACUAUUUUUUAGUAACGGACUAUUUCUUUAUUUCUGAAGACUUGACAUGAUUUUGGUGACCUUAAAGGAAUUGUCUUAGCAGGAAACUCCAAACAUCAGUCACCAGAUUAUUAGAUAUUUUUAUCAGAACAAAGAUGCUACAGUUAGUAAGCUUCUUCAUAACAGCCUGAAAAUAUAUUUUACCUUAUGUUGGAAGUCCUAAAAUGAUGGGGGAUGUCAUGUCACUCUCUCAAUGAAAGUAUAAAUUAGGAGAGGGCAAUACACGCAUAAACUCUAUUGCUCAGUUUGAAAACACUCAUAACUGAGGUUUGAAUGAAAGUAAUACAAUGAUGUCAUGUUUCUCAUUGUGUACCAAUGGAACACCAACAAAAUGGUAGUAGUAUGGAGAUUUCAGUAACAAACCGUACAUCAUAUUUCAGAUUCAAGUUUUGUGUGGUAUUAAUUAAUAGAAAGAUGUAAAAGUUUUUCUUCAACAACUGAUUUCUGUAGCAUUAGCUCUUAUAUUUUCCAUUAGGUUUCAACAUUUUUGUUCACUGACUGAACCAAAAUGACACAUUACUCACUAUGCAUUAGAACAGGUGGAAAAUAUUGCUUGUCUAUCCAUUUAAAUAAGCUUAAGUUUUCUUGUUUUUUUGUUGCUGUUUUUCCUUAAGAAAAUUCUUCUGGUCCCAUUAUUAAAACAAUUAUUUGAUCAUUUCUUUCUCUCAAUGAUUUGCUUUAGCAUCUCACAAUGACUUGUUUCAGCUUCUCCCAAUGAUUUGCCUUGGUGAUACUUAAUUCUUGAGCUGCAUUUGUGAUAACUACUAUUACAGGCAAUGGCAAAACUUCAAUUUGUUCUUCAUCCUUCUUCUUCAGAAAGGAGAUAUUUGGAAAAAAGUGAUGUGUCCAUGUGUGAGCAUAAAGAUGAGAAGAGAUGGAAUAUAAUUCAUAUACAAAUAAUUCAGCCUUCAGAUCAGCUCACUGUCCUUAUUCAUCCAAGCCUGGAUAUCCCAAGCUUGGAUAUCUUUAGAAUACUUUUAUUUUUAUGUCACUAGAGCUAGGAUGCCACAAAUCUAACCAGUAUAGAUUGACCAUGAAUAAAUCUAAGAUAAUAAAUAUAGGGUUUCUAAUGAUCAAAGAAGAGAGGUUUGUGGUGGAAAGAGAGUAGUUCUUUUUAUAUAAUUUUUGAUAAGCUUAUGUCAGUGUUAUUGUCAUACAUGAGAAGGAUCAGAAGAUGAGCUGUCCAUUACAAGGUCUUGAGCUGAAGCUUAGAACCAUGAAAGAAAGCAGUGGUAAGCAUUGUGUCUAAACAUAUUGCCUUUGCAAGUUAGUCCUACACUGUCUUUCCUAUGUAGACACUGCUCUAAAUAACUGAACAUGCAGGAUGGGAGUUCAUGUAAUUUCUGUAACACUGUGGAGAAGACUUGGGCCUCAACCAGGUCAGAGCAAUUGUGAAAAAGACUGAUGAAACAUAAGUUCCUUCUGGUCCUAUUGUCCUUUGCUUGAUGUGCUUGAUGCUCAGGGACACCACCUGUGAAAUCAUAUAUUAUAAAUACAAGAUUUCUCAGUUAAAUGCAGACUAAACUAUUUUAAAAUGUGUAGUCAACAAGAGAUUACAGAAUCCCAGAGAUUGCCUUUUCUAUCAAGAAUGUUGAAGUUCUUUAUGACAACCUCUUCCUUAAUCAGUUCCUCCUUUUUUUAGCAUGUGUGAAUGCCCUUUGCAAAUGUCCAGAGCUACUUUAUUUCUUUCAAUGUCAGUACGAUUCUGCAUGCUGUUUGCAAUCUAGUGACUGGAUUUCUUUUAUCACAUUCAAAAUACGAAAGAAAUUAUUAAAAAAAAUAUAACAUGCUCUAUAGAAAAUAAAUUCUAGCAUUCAAAAUUUAAUUGCUGUCAGCUGCUCUUCCUCUUUCACUGCUCACUAUAAAGAAAUAGAGUUUAGACAGUCACAAAGGAGAAAAUAUUGCCCAGGAAAUUUUUGCCUAAAUGUCUACCUACAGUAGCAUACUCAUGCCUCUAUUUUAUUCCUUGCCUGCAGCAAGCAAAUAGAUGAAGAGUAUUAACUGAUUGAAUCACUAUCAUACAUUUUUCUCUGUCAAAGACCUUCACUGGCAUUUCAAUUAAUUGAUCUGGGCAGAUUGUCUGUGCCUGCUAAAGACUAAUUUCCUUAAAGCCAGCAUAUCUUGUUCAGUAAAGGUGCUGUUGUCAGCUAGGCUGGAGAAGUACCAACACAAUCCAAACACACAUUUUAUACAAGUGACACCAAUUUCUUGCCAGAUGCUAAUCUUGAUGGCUUGUUUCCUUCCUCUCUUAGAGAUCUCAGUGACAGACUAUUACAGGGUAAGCUCUUCCCUUCAUUUACUUCUAAAAUAUGCUAACAUAUUUCCUCUUGUAUCUCAGUCCUGAUAAGCUGCAAGAGGUUUUUUGUUUGUUUGUUUGUUUUUAAUAACAAGGUAGAGAUGGUUAGGGAGUAGCUGCGUUUGUUUUCCAAAGAUUGAAAUUCAUUUUUUUCCUGCCUUGUAAAUAGCAUCUUUUUGCAUUCUUUCCCUGCAAGAGAAAUAAGAUUCAUGUCUGUUCUAAGGGGAGUACCUAGCUGGAUGUUCACAUGUUUUAUUAGAAAUUUUUCAAGGAAAACAAUAUAUAACUCUCUGACUAAGAGUAGUCAUCACUAGUUAAACAAGAUUUGCAGCAAAAAAAACAUAUACUAAGUACCUUGGUCUGUCUCAAAGAUUUGUUGGAAGAUAAGGAAUGAUUUGAAAGAUAAACAUUGAAGUGGCAAAUGAAAAUACAGUCAGAGAAUAGGAGAGGACGCUGUUCAUGGCGCAGGAACUUGGUUUUCCUUGGGACGUGGGGAAUGUAUUCUACACCCAUACUGUGUUCUCAGCCAGUGGCUGUGGCUACAUGCUGCCAUGUGAGCAGGAAUGCAGCAAAUCAGAACUUGUACUGAUGGGGUGAUUUGGGGUGUCCCAGGUGGCAAGUGCCAAGUAACCAUACGUAAUAAGAAGGAGAGUUGAUCUCUUUUAUGUGAAAUAUAGGUGCUGAGGAUUACAGCUAAAUGAAAUUGAAGUGCUGCCUUGACCUUUUCCUGUUUCAUAGAAACUGGCUUAAUUAACAUCCUCUGACAUCUUACCUAAAAAUCAGCCCUUUCUUUUCAGUAUAUUGAAAUGCAGUAUGUAUUCCUUUACAACCAGGUUUCUUCAUGAAUACCAAAUGCUUUUCCAUUUUCUGAAAGCUACUGGCCUACAUUCACCUUCAACUGAAUGCAGCAUUUGGGCAUCUUAAACAGUAAGCCUUUUUUUCUUCGAAGGAAUUUUUUCCUAUUUGUAUCCAUUCUCUGAAGCAAGGAUGCAAAAAAGUUCCUUUCACAUACAUUUUUCCUGUGCUAUAAACUGCUGGUGCUGCAAUUACUGAUGUAGAUUGAAUGUAGUGGCAGAGGUUUGUGACUGGGUAUUCCUAAACUUUGCCUUUACUUCCCAAAAAUAUUUUGACUGAUAUUUUUACACUAUUUUUAGAGGGCUGGAUUUGAUCUUGAUGUAACUGAAAUUUCUCUAGCAGCUGCAUUCAUUCAUUCUCUGGCGUUUGUUUCCAGUUCCCCCCUGGACAGGCAUCUCUUUCUUUACAGGAAUGCCCCAGCCCUUUGCAAGUUUCACGAAAAGUUUAAAGACAGGCAAAAAUAAACAAACAGAACUCAUCAGAACAAAAAACAACAACAAAAACACAUGGCUCGGAAUUUGUAACAAUUCUCUUCCUAAUUCUUUGAACUGUGCAGCUAAGACUAAGUCUUCACUGGCACAACUACUUCAGUAUAUCAUCUGCUGAUCAAGCCAAAGUGUAGUCUUUGUGACUGCUUGUUUUAUUAACUUAUUUGUUAUCUUUAAAAGGUAGAAGGAGGUGCAAGUAAGGAUCAUGGUUUGCCAUGACUUCUUAUACAUUAAAGUAUACAGAAUUACAAUUUAAUUUAAUUUAGCAGAAUUAACAGGAAGUACACAGACAGCUAUUUAAAAUCACAACUGGUGAAAAAUAUUGUAUCAUUUCAAGAAUACUUCGGGAAGAUAAUUUUUGAGAUAUUUCUAAAACUGUUUUUAAACAGAUGCCUUAUUUUAAUGGAAGUUAUUUAGAUUCUGAUCAUGCAGCCUUUUAGUGCUAAUAAUGCAAUAUGCUAAGCAGCAAUAUUUAUCCGAAGAGCUGACAGUACUUAUAUAUUAUUUCUGGUAUUGCAUUUAGCAUGUAAAUAAAAAGUUCCACAAAGAAGUCCUAGAGUCAUAACUUCCAAACAAAAAAAAAUGUAUGUUUCAUUAGCUGUAGCAAUAUCCAAAGCAUUUUCUGCAAAUGGGUAACCAAAUCUUAAUUCUUGUCACUUAUAAUACACAUUAAUUAUUUAAAAUUUAAUCAUUUUGUCCUAAGAAUCCUACAUGCAGGACUUUGUCAUUGAGGUACCUGAAUCUAUUCAAGGACUCCUUAUUUGGACUUAUUGAAAUAUAUGAUAUGCAGAUUGUGCUACAACUCUUUUAAUUGAUUCAGAGCACUUUCCUAAAUGUCAGCUGCUUCAUACCAGGGGAAAUACUGUAAUAAUAAUUAUAGUUGUGGAACACAUCCCUCUGAACAGAGACUGUAUUUAAUAUUUACUGGAGAGUAGCAGUACAUACUCCAUUCCAAGAAGAAGCCAUGACUUUUUUUCAGGGAAACAGUACUUCUGACAAUUAUAGUAAGGUUAUGUUUAUGGAGCUUACACAUUUUUAUAGUAUACAUGCUUUUAUAUUCACUGCUAAUAAUAAUUAUUGAGCUAUGCUAUUAAUAUUGUAUCACUUAUUUGAAGAAUCCUGAUUGAUACAGUAAAAAAAAUACUGGAAAUUAUGCUUUCAUUGUGUGAAUUUUUGUGGUUAUUAUAAACAUUUAUCCAUUCAACAGGUACAAAAGCAUGCUAUGGAUUUGUUUAGAAAUCACUUUUACAUAUGUUAGCUGUGACACCUCCAAAAUACUGGCUUUUAACUCAGUAGAGAUCCAAGUAAUCAAAGAAGCAGAAAGAGAAAUAAAUGUAAACAAAGGAAGGAUAGAACCAAAGUGGUAGCUAUCAUCCUGGAUACACAACAGGUCCUUUCAGUCUUCAGAAAUAAGAGGAAAGUUUACAGAAAGCUGAAACUAGGUCAAAUUCCAGGGGAAAAGAAUGAAGUAAAAAUACAUAGGGACAAAAGCAGGGAGUACAGGGCACAAAAGAUAAAGCUAAGAAAGAAUGCAAAAGACAUGAUAAAAACAAAAAGAAGGAUAGUAUAAGCAAUAGGAGGAAAUGUUGGAAAAUAUACGAUGUAUUUAUUAUAUGCUGUAGAAAAAUGUUAUGCUACAGUUAAAAAGAGAGGGGAAUUUAUUGGGAAAUGGAAUCAAGAAGGUCAAUAGAUAUAUGACACUCCUUGAAACGCCAUCUUAAAAGAACGGAUGGCAUUUGCAAUGAGGUGACUGAUGCCAGUUUUAUUAUUAUAGCCUGGAGUAGGAAAAGCAGAGGGAUUACUGAACACCUAGAAAAGUCAUAUAUUCUGAAAUUUUUCAAUACAAUGAACUUUAUCACCUAUCAUUUGUCACUAAAACAAUCAGCUUUUAGGGUUACUCUAAAGAGCUCAGAAUAUGGUGAGAUGACUUGAUGAUUUGUCCCUUUCAAAAGAGAAACAAAAUAAUUCUUCUCCAGAACAAAAAGAAAAACACAACCUGCAAAACAUAAUUGUAAAUUAAUAAGAUGAACUUCAUUUCCUAGAAAAAAUGCUAGGAACAAAUGAGUCCCUAAAAGAUGAUCAACAGCUAACAUGAAUUAAAAAAUCUUACGAAAUAAAUCCUUCUUACUAUUAAAGAAAAACAGAAUUCAUGAGUAGAGAAGCAGCAGCAAAUAUCUAGAUUUUAAUUUGAUACUGUUUUCUGGGAGAUUUUCAUCAGCAAGCAUGGGACAUAUGAUCAAGAUGAUGCUAUUAGAGGUUGGCUAUGGCACUGGAAUGGGAUGUGUUACUGGAGUAGAACUCAAAUCACUUGUGGUAAGCUAAAGAAAUGGCCUGGAAAAUGCAAGAAGUAAUUCAGUAGAGAAAAUUGUAAAGUUUUCUAUUUAGGUGUGAAAAAUGAGUGUCAUAAACACAAAAUAAGAAAAGUCUGAUUUGGUAACAUUGUUACAGAAAAGGUCCUUGAGGAAAAAAUUUGUGACAACAUAAAUAUCAAUCAAGCGUGAAAAAAAUGAAUAAAUGGUAUCUAUAAAUAUCAUUUUAUAUAGCAUUAUAUAUUUUUAUAUAAAAAUAAAUUUUAUCUAAAUUAUUGUCCAAUUUUGAAUGUCAUACUUCAAGAAAAAUGUUGAUCAGCUGGAUGUAGUCCAGAGAAAAAUAACCAGAGGUUUCAAAAACAUAAAAAAACAACAAUAAAAAAAUGAAUUGGCUGUGUUUAUUUAAAAUCUAAGGGAGAUAAGGCUACAGAGGAGAGUAAGAAUAUAUUUCCAAAGCAUAAAAGACUUCUGAUAAGAGGAAAGGAACAAUUUGCUCUUUAUCACGUACAGAAAAGAAAUGUGCUUAAAUGGCUGAAAGAAAUAUAUGUUUUAGAUGACAGGAAAACCUUCUUUAACAAUAAAGAUAGCAAUACAUUAGAAUAAAUUGCCCCAGAGGCUGCAGAAAUAAGUCAAAGUUUUUGAGAAUAGGUUUGUAGGGAAACUGCUAGGUCACUGCUUGAACCAGUAAUGGAGCUGCUGGCAAAGGAGCAGAGUCAACCCUGAGAGCACAGGUGGAAGCAAUUCACCUGUGCAACCGGAAGGGGUGGAGUCAGGCUGAACCCCUCCCUAACCUCAUUGAAGGGUUGGGUCCCACAAGGGAAGUUGUGUCUUUUGGAUUAUUUGGCAAGCCCUUGGAGAAAGAUGCAGGCAUUUACACCCACCCAUGGGAAGCAAGCACUGAAGGAAGUGUAGGUGGAGGCGCAACCCGAUGCUCUUGCAGCAUGCAGGCAAGGAGAAGCAGAAGUUUGCUCCCAGUGGUGGGAAACUGAAAACACGUGGGGAUUGAAGUACAAUAUCAAGGCUGGUUCUGUGGCAGGAUGUGCAGACCGCUGGGCUGCUUUCUCUGCAGAAGUGCAAGGGGAGAUGGAGGCCAUCCGCAUAAAGGGGACUGCACACAAUACCCUUGGUGCCCACCAUGAGGUGAAGACUCAACCAGACCCUACACAUGAGCAUCACAGCAUAUGCAGACAUAAAGGAGGAGGAGUAGAACAAGCUGGGCAUCAGUGUGCAUCUGCAGUGAAGGCAACAGGAGCACUAUCUCUACAUAAUUAACUUAAAGCAGAAUUGGCUUUUUAUGGAUGUUUGGCAACACUUACAAAUAAUGGUGCAAUAAUUAAAGAUGCAUUACAAAGAAUCUCAGCUGGAAGCAGACUUUUCAUCACACCCUAAUACCCCAUUAGAUCUUCCAGGAAUAAAUCUUUUUUUUUCUACAGUUCUGUGGGUCACAAAUUAAUUAAACUGACUGAGACACACCUCUUCUCUUGUUUCCAAAAAAUAGUGUAAUGCAGUGCAGAUUAAUGUUGAAAUGAAUACCUUCUGCAUUUUUCAGCAAUUACCUCUUCUUUUUCUUUAAUAAAAUUGGGUAUUUUAUUAUAAUUGAAAUGAGUUGAAAGGGUUGAAUUGCUAAAUUUCAUUAAAAGUAAUGAGGAACUUAGCUUUGGUUAUCUUAAACAUAUAGUCUGUGAAGUUUUCCCUCUUGGGAAGGCGUAGUUUGCCACACACAAACACAUUAGUUUUUCUGCUUGUGGAACAUUUUUUGUGGUAAUCUGUGGACCACCCCACUUGCAGAUAGGAAUAAUCUCAAAGCCUAAUCUCAAAGACAGAAGCCGAUGAUGGCCUGGGGUUGUCAAGCUUCACUAACUUUUACUUUUUUUUUUUUCCUUUUUGAGAAGUAACAACAGAACAGUUUCUCUCUGCCCUUGGGGGACUGAUUGCUGUUUUGUAUUUGCUGUUUUUUUAAUAAUAAGUUGACAGAAAGUGUGAGGAAUGACAGUCGUGGUUCAUCAGGAGACAGGAGGACAUUUUCCUGGUGAUUCAUCCUCUUCACAUGAGAUGUGUUAGCAAAUACCUUGAAACCUCCAUUUACAACUCACUUAAGAAAAUGACAGUACACAAAAGACCAAAGCAUCUCCAAGAAAUCAUUCCCAGAUCAAAAGUGAUGUUGAGUUUUUUUAUUUACUUCAAGCUCUUAAAAUGCCCUGAACAGGUGCGGGUGUGUGAAGGAAAACUCAGAUGAAUAUAUAAAAAAGCUGUUUAUUUUGAUCCAUACGUCUCAUAUGCAUAUGUAUUUAUCCAUACAUAUGCAUAAUAUAUUUUAACAAAAUCCACCCUAUCCCCCAGAAAUAUAAAAGAAAAUCGUGUAGCCGGUAAAUGGUAAAAUAUAAAAAACAACAGUGUAUUUAUUCUUCCCUGAUACUCAUCAUCCUUAUUCUAGUAAAGGAUAUGAAUUAUUCAUUUCUAAGCACAAUAGGAAAACUUUAGUACUGUUUAAUGACUCAAAUGGCCCAUUAAUGAAAGAUUUGUGAGUCAGGUCCAGAGUAAUGAGGAACAUUUUUACAAAAACAAGUAUUAAGUUUGAGAAGUAGUCAUAACUUCUUAUUCAGAGUAUGGCAUCCUGAGUCUUUGGAACAGUUGCUAGAGAAAAUGUAAAAGCAACCACAGAACUUUCUUUUUGUAAGAUAAAAGUCACUGUGUAAAUUAGGUCAGCUGUAUUCCUAAUAGCAAAGAAAAUUACUAGCAGAAUGACAGGCAUACUGAGAGGAAAACAAAAAGGGGGAAGGAAAAAGGAAAGAAAAUAAUUUGGAAAAUUAAGGUUAAAUCUCAUGAUUCAGGGCAACAGAGGUCAAUCGAUAAAAAAGAACACAACACAUUAAGUCACACAAUUCCUUCCCUGCCUAAUGCUCACUUUAAUUAUAUGCUGAUACUAUUACAAGCUAGAAAAACUCACUGGACGUGGAAACAAAUUUUCUCCUGUGUAAUUACAUGGUCCUUUUCUCCAGUUAUCUAUGCAGAGUUCUUCAUGAUGGUAAACAUCCUGAAUUGCAUGACUAAAUCUUGUUGAUGAAUACUGAAUUACAGGAUUGGUAUAGUUUAAUUCCCGUUCAGAUGAACAUUAACUCCGAGGAAUUAUACGGUCAGUACUUGCCAAUUUAAUAACUGCCUGAUUUUAGUGGUCUGCUAAGAACAACAUUAUAAAUAUAAUAGUUAUAUCCAUUAACAUUAAUGAACAUAUUAGGUCCAUACUUCUUUCCCUGGCUAUCUCUUUCCAGUCUGUAGUACAGCUGCUAAUCUUAUCCAACAGGUCUUCGCAAGCAUCAUCUCAAGACUGACUGCUUCCACCACUCCCUGAGAGGCAACACAGAGGCCUGUGGGAAGCCCAGAUGCCGUGAGCAGGGAGUUAUAUGGCCACUGUGUCCAAGUGGCUUUCCAGGAUACCAGAGGGCAAUGGGGUAUGAGAUGGAGGUGGGAGGCUGACCUCCGAUCACCUCUGGACCCGGGUUGAUCCAUACCCAAGGGCCAGAUUUAGCCAGUAUUCAAGGCCAGUGUGAAAGGAUUUUGAGCUGACAUUAAAAUCAAUUCUAAAUAUUAAGACAAUUCUAAGAUUUACACAUCCUUCUUUACCCUUCCCUUUUCUGUAUGAACAGCGACACUUCAACAGAAAAUUUCCUUAUAUCUACCAGAAGAAAAACAGUAUAAUUUUCAUUCUUUCCUUCCUCUCCUCUCCUCUCCUCUCCUCUCCUCUCCUCUCCUCUCCUCUCCUCUCCUCUCCUCUCCUCUCCUCUCCUCUCCUCUCCUCUCCUCUCCUCUCCUCUCCUCUCCUCUCCUCUCCUCUCCUCUCCUCUCCUCUCCUCUUUCUUCUCUUCACUUCUUCUUUAACCUGGAAAAAUCACCAUUUAUAGUAAUAAUUUCUUCCAUCAUUGAGCAUAAUGUUCUUUCAGAUAGGAUACAAUCUUCCAUCAUUUGCUUUACAAAAACUGUAAUUCUAAUGAUAAGGUAAUGUUCUAAUUAAGUACAAUACUAAUUAAUGUAUUAGCCUUAUCUGAUUAAUGCAUGAAAUAUCAUCCAGUAUAUGGUUUUAAAUUCCUAAUCUGUUCUUACUUAAAGCUAUGUAAACCUACAGUUUGAUAAACUUGGAGGCAUUUUCCAUUUGAUGGGAAAAAGAAGAAAUUAAGCUGCAUUUUCACAAGGCAAAAUACCACAUAAAGAGAAUUUCUUGUCCUGUAUUUUGUAUUUUUUUGUCAGUGUUUUAGCACCCUGUAAUAUAAAAGCUACUGAAUUUUCACUAUGACUAUACUCUGGAAAAGGAACAGAUAAGAUGAUAAAAAUCUUACCUACAAACAAGUACAGUGUAGUGACUGUUACUCCAAAAAGAGCUCGGAAGGCUUGAUAUGGUUUUCCUAUGCAAAAAAAAAAAUCUAGUUUUGUCGCAGCCCAAUUAACAUCUCUGCCACUAUUGUUGCAAAACAAAAGAAUUGAUUGGUACAGGUGAUCAUUAGGGUUCUGCAAAUUAAUAUAUGAGAGAUAUCAAAGAGCAAUCAACAUGAAGUAAAUGUUUCUGGAUCAGAACAUUUCUGAUUGCAUUCUCUGAAAAAUACUGAAGUCAGUCAGUGAAUUGGGAAAUUUUGUGACAAGCAUUCUGCAUCUCAGUAGACCGAAAAAUUAACAUCAACAUUAUGGAGAUGGUCAUAGUGCAAUUGCACUGAAGAAGUUAACCUGGUAUUAAAGAAAGCAAAUUCAAUCUAAAAUUACAUUGUACCCCUGUGUCCUCUCAUUUAUUAUUAUUAUUUUUUAAUGUGAUGGUGCAAACAUAGUCCGCAAAACCUCCUGUCAUUUUUCAGGAACUGCAGAAGUAUGGUACAACUUUUUUUUCUCUUCUCCCCAGAAUCAGAUGCGAGUAUAUGACCCUGGGGAAAGAUUUAUGUUGCCAUUAUUUUUUUCAGAUCACAAUCACCAUAUAUGUUCACUUACAAGAUGUAUUAAUUUGCAACUGUGCCACUCCCUUGCUGAAAACAAUAGAACCAUUUAUGAAAAAUAAAGAACAUUCAGAGGAAUGCUUGUGCGAGUGUGAUGCAUACAGAGGAAUCUCAUCACUGUAUUUUCUUUGUCCACUCUGAGCAAGAAAAGGAACAUGUCUCUUUUAUAGUCUGGAAAAAGCAUUUUUCAGGAGAAGCAGUACUUGUGAACUUCAUUGACACAAUCUUAACAAUUCAUAAAAAUGUCUAUAAUACUUGUGCAGAAAUAGCAAUGCAGUGUUGGGCUAAAAUUAAAGAGAGAUCUUAGUGCUGUUCAAGAUGACAUUUUUUAUCUCUGAAGAUGCCAAAUUAGCUUUGAGAUACAGACAAUAGCAGACAGUGGCUUGUGGGAAAGAAAACAUUUUACAGAGCUAUUCUUACCUUGAGAAGUGACUGUAAUAUUUAUUGUGCCUGGCAUAACAUUCAAACUGAAGAAAUCUGGAAAAUAAAAAUAUGAAAAACUCGUUCUCUCUCUCUUUUUUUACCUAUCACACCUCUUCCAAUAAUCCUAAGAAUAAUUUACCUGUUCCCUAAAGUCUUCAAAGAAAAAACAAUUUAUUGCCACGGAAAUUGAUGCACCUGUAAUCUGAAAACUCCUAUGCUAUAUUUCUACUUAAAUCCCUACCUCUGCAAAGGCAUCCAUGGUGUGCCAUACAUACAAAACUAAUUCUAAAUCUUAAAAGACACACUACAGAUAAAUCAAGUAUGUUUGUCCCUGUGCCUUUCAGUCUUAAAUUGUCUUUAAUUAAUUUAUGAAGUCUAAGGCAUACAUAUAUGUGAAUAUAUAUGGAAAGGACUAAUUCAAACUACCUGCUGGAUCAUAACAAGCAGAACUGUAGCUACAAUUCAGGCUCUCCCAUGAACCAUUUACUCUCUCUUUAUCUACAGUUUUCUUGUUCAUUUUCAAAGAGUGAAGUUAUCUGUGUUCAUCCAGAACUUCCAUUUAUUCAUUUGAACCAUUUCUAGUGCAUGGGAGAACACAACACAGCUUGUUCUCCUGGCUACGCUGUCUUUACCAUCUUCCUGUUGUACUGUAAACUGCAUUUAAGUGCUUUCUAUUUUGGAAAGCAAUGUAAAAUGUGAUAUAUUAAAAAAAAAAAAAAAAAGGAGAGAGCUUUAAACACUACUAACAAAAGAUUAUAUUGAAAUGGCUUCACAUUGAUUCUUAUCUUGGUUAGGUCAAUUUUAGUAUGCAAUCUGUGAUAUGGGCAACAGAUCUCAACUCCAUACAAUAAACAAAAAUUUACUCUGUCCAAGAAUUAUUUGGAGGUAAAAGUACAAGCUAGGAAGUAAAUAGAGAAAUAAACAUAAGUUGGACAAAUUCUUUAGAACUUGUGAAACCUUGCUCCCAUACUGAAUUUACUGUGAUCAAAAACAAACUAAAUAAGGAUGCUUAUUUUUUAACUUCUGCAUUAUUGACCAUGACUAAUCCUUCUAAACUUUCAGAUACAAGGUAAAAUAUAUAAUGAAAAACAGUGGUGAAAAAAAACCCACACCACUACAAGAAAAAUAUUUUCUACCUAUAGUACCUUAAUACUGCAGCUGCAUGCACAUAAUCCCCAUGCAGUUUAUCUGCCUAGUAAAACUUCCUCGAAGGAAAAUUCUACCCAGACACUCUGAACACAAUAGUAAAAUGUGUGAAGAGUAGAAC